GGCGGCAUGGAUUAGGCAUGCAAGUCGUGCGCGAAACGUAGCAAUACGUGGAGAGCGGCGAAAGGGAGAGGAAUACGUGGGAACCUACCUCGGGGUCUGGAAUAGCGGCGGGAAACUGCCGGUAAUGCCAGAUAACGUCCCCGGACCAAAGGUGUGAUUCCGCCUGGAGAUGGGCCCACGUCCUAUCAGCUUGUUGGUGUGGUAACGGCGCACCAAGGCUAAGACGGGUAUGGGGUGUGAGAGCAUGCCCCCACUCACUGGGACUGAGACACUGCCCAGACACCUACGGGUGGCUGCAGUCGAGAAUCUUCGGCAAUGAGCGCAAGCUUGACCGAGCGAUGCCGCGUGCGGGAUGAAGGCCCUCGGGUUGUAAACCGCUGUCGUAGGGGAGUAAUGGUCAGGGGGUUCUCCCUCUGAUUUGAACAAUCCUAGGAGGAAGGACGGGCUAAGUUCGUGCCAGCAGCCGCGGUAAGACGAACCGUCCAAACGUUAUUCGGAAUCACUGGGCUUACAGAGUUCGUA
RNAcentral lists this ribosomal RNA (522 nucleotides) under uncultured Planctomycetales bacterium. RNAcentral's name for it is "bacterial SSU rRNA". It matches the Rfam family "Bacterial small subunit ribosomal RNA", at positions 38 to 573 of the family's 1533-position model. The record is from RNAcentral. Lineage: Bacteria; Pseudomonadati; Planctomycetota; Planctomycetia; Planctomycetales.